GUGAUAUCGGAUAAGUUAAUAAAUAUUUGUGUCAAUAACUAAAUGCAUUUAAAACAAAUCAACUUUGUCAGCGAGAAGAAGAAUUUGAAAGUGGAUGCAGAUUUGAAGAAUGAUUUCAAUAUCGAACCGAUUUGUUGGCUUCUUCGUAUGGAUUAUCGGUUUUAACGUCUUCUACAAUACCACCUCAAGUGUUACAAAUUCAAAACAUACGUGUGCCCUUCCUUGGAAAAGAAAUUUUGGAUUAACAACCAAUGCAACAGAUGAGACCGGAAGAUUUUUCGACGGAUUGAGAACUAUAAUCACGGGUUUUUUAUAUAGUCAUGAAGAAGGUAAGAUAUAUCAAAAUUCCUUUUAAAAAAAAAUACCAAUAGUUUAACAUAGAUAUAUAUUAAAAGAAGGAAACAAAAUGAAAUAUAUCUUGAUAACGAACAGUACUCAAGCUCAAAAGUCCAUCAAACAAGUAAAAUAGGAGUAGAGCAAGCACAAAUUUCUUAAACAUAAGAGAUGGGAUCAAGUGCCAUGGAGGAGUGAGCAUCCCCCCUCAAAUAAUCAUCAGAUUUAUAUGAUAUUCAAUUUCUGUAAUUAAGGUUGUUUAUACAAAACAUUUUCUAAGCAUAUAUUAAUAGGUUUUAAAGGAGAAAGAUAAUGCUUU
Saccostrea cuccullata (small rock oyster) is the source of this 652-nucleotide long non-coding RNA. RefSeq lists it as uncharacterized. The transcript has 3 exons. Lineage: Eukaryota; Metazoa; Mollusca; Bivalvia; Ostreida; Ostreidae. The record is from RefSeq and is a predicted model, not a curated record.